RNA transcript from Ipomoea triloba (trilobed morning glory), 1559 nucleotides. It is a transcript of the gene named protein MRG1-like, with no coding region annotated. The transcript has 11 exons. The record is from RefSeq and is a predicted model, not a curated record. Lineage: Eukaryota; Viridiplantae; Streptophyta; Magnoliopsida; Solanales; Convolvulaceae.
AGGAGGGAAGGAUUAAAAAGGGGGGAAAAAGCUGGUUGAACCGCGACAAGAGGACCGCCAGUGGCCGUACGCCACCACUAGUCUCCGCCGUUUCUCUCAAUUGAUAAGUUCAGGAGAGCGAAGUACUUUGAUCCUUUACCGAUUGUUCUAGAAGAACCUUUUUAAUUUCUUUUUUUUUUUCCAUAAACAAAAAUUCAACGAGAAGCUCGAAAAAUGGGGAACUUAAAGGCGACGAUUACGGACGAUUCCGACACCGUUUCGGACGACGACGGCGCCACCACUGUUACGGACUCGCCAUCCUCCUCGCCACCUCCACAUUCGUCUUCCCUCUCUGGCCCCUUCGAAGAAGGAGAAGAAGUCCUUGCUUAUCACAACCAAUGUGUGUACAAAGCUAAGAUUCAAAAGACUCGAUUUGUGAAGACAGAAUGGGAGUAUUUUGUUCACUAUACAGGUUGGAACAAAAACUGGGAUGAAUGGUUGGGCAUAGAUCGAUUGAUGAAAGUCACUGAAGAGAACUUACGAAAACAGCAGGAGCUUAAUAAAAAAUAUGACAUGAAGAAGAAUGAAAAGGCCAGGCGUGGAUCACAAUUAAAAGCAAAAUGUUCUACUGGGACAAGAGCUAAAAGGCAAAAGAAAGAUGUUCAAAAGGACAAAGGUGUCCUACCUUCAGAGAAGCUUGUUGUUAACAUUCAAAUUCCAUCCUCAUUAAAGAAGCAGCUGGUUGAUGAUUGUGAAUUUAUUACCCAUUUGGGCAAGCUUGUCCAACUUCCUCGUUCUCCGAGUGUAAAUGAAAUACUAAGCAAGUACAGUGACUAUCGCCUAAAGAAGGAUGGAAUAAUUGCUGAUUCAGUAAGCGAAAUUCUUAGUGGAUUGCAAUGUUACUUUGACAAAGCAUUGUCUGCUAUGCUCCUUUACAAGAAUGAGCGCGAGCAAUAUCAAGAAGCAAUUACAGAUGGAGUCUCUCCUUCAUCUGUGUAUGGUGCUGAGCAUCUAUUACGUUUGUUUGUUAAAUUUCCUGAAAUAUUGCACCAUGCAAAUAUUGAGGAUGAGACAGUAACUGAGUUGCGACAGAAAUUGCAAGACUUCCUCAGGAGGAAGAUAGGGGUUUGGUGCAAUCUCAUCUCUUGAUGACUAAACCUUCUGGUGGGGGCUAGCUUUAGCUUGCAGUCAAUUGAUUUCUCUCCUGAUGUUUUUUUCUGUCACCUCAGUGGACAGACACGCAUUACAGGUUUCUACAGAAGAAUCAAAGCUCAUUUUUCCUAUCAUCAUACAUUGAUCCAGAAGUUUCAGAUGUUGUCAACAAGAAAGGGGAUGACUGAGCUCAAAACAUAGUAAAACUUCUGCUCUGUAUAAGUGCCUCUAUCUUGCCCCCAAACCCCCUCCCUCCACCCCAUUUGUUCUAAAAUUGGUCGGUUGCAUUGUACAUGUUGCUUUUGUCUGGUGAAUAGCAACAGCAGGUGCUGUUAUUUUGUAAUGCUCGUUUUAUACAGUUGAAACUCUGCACCUUCAAAAGGCUUCAAUCCCAGUGCAUAAUGUUUAAAAGAAAAAAGGUUAAGCAA